Molecule: ribosomal RNA, 433 nt
Filed under: uncultured bacterium
Lineage: Bacteria
Description: partial 16S ribosomal RNA
Rfam family: Bacterial small subunit ribosomal RNA
Source: RNAcentral
AACGAACGCUGGCGGCAUGCCUAACACAUGCAAGUCGAACGAGACCUUCGGGUCUAGUGGCUCACGGGUGCGUAACGCGUGGGAACCUGCCCUUAGGUUCGGAAUAACUCCCCGAAAGGGGUGCUAAUACCGGAUAAUGUCUUCGGACCAAAGAUUUAUCGCCUUGGGAUGGGCCCGCGUUGGAUUAGCUAGUUGGUAGGGUAAAAGCCUACCAAGGCGACGAUCCAUAGCUGGUCUGAGAGGAUGAUCAGCCACACUGGGACUGAGACACGGCCCAGAAUCCUACGGGAGGCAGCAGUGGGGAAUAUUGGACAAUGGGCGAAAGCCUGAUCCAGCAAUGCCGCGUGAGUGAUGAAGGCCUUAGGGUUGUAAAGCUCUUUUACCCGGGAUGAUAAUGACAGUACCGGGAGAAUAAGCUCCGGCUAACUCCGUG